RNAcentral lists this transfer RNA (33 nucleotides) under Turnera dichotoma. Its description in RNAcentral is "partial tRNA-Phe". The record is from RNAcentral. Lineage: Eukaryota; Viridiplantae; Streptophyta; Magnoliopsida; Malpighiales; Passifloraceae.
CGGGAUAGCUCACCUGGUAAAGCAAAGGACUGA